Molecule: ribosomal RNA, 468 nt
Filed under: uncultured bacterium
Lineage: Bacteria
Description: partial 16S ribosomal RNA
Rfam family: Bacterial small subunit ribosomal RNA
Source: RNAcentral
GACGAACGCUGGCGGCGUGCUUAACACAUGCAAGUCGAACGGACAGACCCUGCGCUUGUUGCUUGCUCGAUUGGCGAACGCGUGAGUGUCACGUGUGUAACCUGUCCUUGUCUUUCGGGUAACAUCACGAGACACGGGCGAAUACCGCAUAGGAGCUCUUGCAGCACGUUGUGGGUUGGAAAGUUUCGGCUGUUGUGGAUGGACUCGCGGCUUAUGAGCUUGUUUGUGGAGUAGGGGUUUACCAAGGCUAUGACGGGUAGCCGGCCUUGGAGGGUGAACGGCGACAAUGCGCCUGAGAGACGGCGCAGAAUCCUAUGGGAGGCAGCAGUGGGGAACAUUGCAGAAUGGGCGGAAGCCUGAUGCAGAAACGCCGCGUGCGGGAUGACGGCCUUCGGGUUGUAAACCGCUGUCGACUGUGACGAAGCGGGAGUGACGGUAAUGGGUAAAGAAGCACCGGCUAACUACGUG